RNAcentral lists this ribosomal RNA (1176 nucleotides) under Staphylococcus aureus. Its description in RNAcentral is "partial 23S ribosomal RNA". It matches the Rfam family "Bacterial large subunit ribosomal RNA", at positions 513 to 1693 of the family's 2925-position model. The record is from RNAcentral. Lineage: Bacteria; Bacillati; Bacillota; Bacilli; Caryophanales; Staphylococcaceae.
GGUGAAAAGCACCCCGGAAGGGGAGUGAAAUAGAACCUGAAACCGUGUGCUUACAAGUAGUCAGAGCCCGUUAAUGGGUGAUGGCGUGCCUUUUGUAGAAUGAACCGGCGAGUUACGAUUUGAUGCAAGGUUAAGCAGUAAAUGUGGAGCCGUAGCGAAAGCGAGUCUGAAUAGGGCGUUUAGUAUUUGGUCGUAGACCCGAAACCAGGUGAUCUACCCUUGGUCAGGUUGAAGUUCAGGUAACACUGAAUGGAGGACCGAACCGACUUACGUUGAAAAGUGAGCGGAUGAACUGAGGGUAGCGGAGAAAUUCCAAUCGAACCUGGAGAUAGCUGGUUCUCUCCGAAAUAGCUUUAGGGCUAGCCUCAAGUGAUGAUUAUUGGAGGUAGAGCACUGUUUGGACGAGGGGCCCCUCUCGGGUUACCGAAUUCAGACAAACUCCGAAUGCCAAUUAAUUUAACUUGGGAGUCAGAACAUGGGUGAUAAGGUCCGUGUUCGAAAGGGAAACAGCCCAGACCACCAGCUAAGGUCCCAAAAUAUAUGUUAAGUGGAAAAGGAUGUGGCGUUGCCCAGACAACUAGGAUGUUGGCUUAGAAGCAGCCAUCAUUUAAAGAGUGCGUAAUAGCUCACUAGUCGAGUGACACUGCGCCGAAAAUGUACCGGGGCUAAACAUAUUACCGAAGCUGUGGAUUGUCCUUUGGACAAUGGUAGGAGAGCGUUCUAAGGGCGUUGAAGCAUGAUCGUAAGGACAUGUGGAGCGCUUAGAAGUGAGAAUGCCGGUGUGAGUAGCGAAAGACGGGUGAGAAUCCCGUCCACCGAUUGACUAAGGUUUCCAGAGGAAGGCUCGUCCGCUCUGGGUUAGUCGGGUCCUAAGCUGAGGCCGACAGGCGUAGGCGAUGGAUAACAGGUUGAUAUUCCUGUACCACCUAUAAUCGUUUUAAUCGAUGGGGGGACGCAGUAGGAUAGGCGAAGCGUGCGAUUGGAUUGCACGUCUAAGCAGUAAGGCUGAGUAUUAGGCAAAUCCGGUACUCAUUAAGGCUGAGCUGUGAUGGGGAGAAGACAUUGUGUCUUCGAGUCGUUGAUUUCACACUGCCGAGAAAAGCCUCUAGAUAGAAAAUAGGUGCCCGUACCGCAAACCGACACAGGUAGUCAAGAUGAGAAUUCUAAGGUGAGCGA